CAGUCGCCGCGGGAAUACGUAGGUGGCAAGCGUUGUCCGGAAUUAUUGGGCGUAAAGCGCGGGCAGGUGGUUUAAUAAGUCUGAUGUGAAAGCCCACGGCUCAACCGUGGAGGGCCAUUGGAAACUGUUAAACUUGAGUGCAGGAGAGAAAAGUGGAAUUCCUAGUGUAGCGGUGAAAUGCGUAGAGAUUAGGAGGAACACCAGUGGCGAAGGCGGCUUUUUGGCCUGUAACUGACACUGAGGCGCGAAAGCGUGGGGAGCAAACAGGAUUAGAUACCCGAGUAGUCCCUGUCUCUUAUAU
RNAcentral lists this ribosomal RNA (301 nucleotides) under uncultured bacterium. RNAcentral's name for it is "partial 16S ribosomal RNA". It matches the Rfam family "Bacterial small subunit ribosomal RNA", at positions 509 to 809 of the family's 1533-position model. The record is from RNAcentral.